Non-coding RNA from Caenorhabditis elegans, 21 nucleotides. NCBI's taxonomy places the organism in Eukaryota, Metazoa, Nematoda, Chromadorea, Rhabditida, Rhabditidae. The record is from Ensembl.
UUGUUGGAAAAAUCGUCUAAU